This 319-nucleotide ribosomal RNA is filed under the name uncultured eukaryote. RNAcentral's name for it is "partial 18S ribosomal RNA". It matches the Rfam family "Eukaryotic small subunit ribosomal RNA", at positions 1470 to 1796 of the family's 1831-position model. The record is from RNAcentral.
CCCUUAGAUGUUCUGGGCAGCACGCGCGCUACAACGGUCUUCGCAAACGGAUGCAUUCUCGAAGGAGAAUGCCAAUCUUGGAAUCUAUGCCUUGGUCGGGACAGUUGCUUGCAAUUUUUCGACUCGAACCAGGAAUUCCUUGUAAUCGUGAUUCAUCACAUCACGAUGAAUACGUCCCUGCCCUUUGUACACACCGCCCGUCGCUCCUACCGAUCGAAGAGUUAGGUGAAUUGUUUUGAUCGAUAAGAUUUGACUAUGGUCAACUCUCGUUGGGAAAUUCUGUGAAUCUGACUGUUUAGAGGAAGGAAAAGUCGUAACA